This 403-nucleotide RNase P RNA is filed under the name Clostridiales bacterium. RNAcentral's name for it is "RNase P RNA component class A". It matches the Rfam family "Bacterial RNase P class A". From Rfam's summary of the family: Ribonuclease P (RNase P) is a ubiquitous endoribonuclease, found in archaea, bacteria and eukarya as well as chloroplasts and mitochondria. Its best characterised activity is the generation of mature 5'-ends of tRNAs by cleaving the 5'-leader elements of precursor-tRNAs. Lineage: Bacteria; Bacillati; Bacillota; Clostridia; Eubacteriales. The record is from RNAcentral.
UGACCGGGCUGUGUGGUCGCGCCGACAUGUUCGGUGAGGAAAGUCCGAGCUUUGCAGGGCAGGGUGGCAGAUAACGUCUGCCCAAGGCGACUUGAGGGAAAGUGCAACAGAAAGCAAACCGGGGCCAUUGGAGUUUUGCGGUGGCUUCAUGGGUGAAACGGCGGGGUAAAAGCCCACCGCGCCUCUGGCAACAGAGGCGGCAUUGUAAACCCCACCUAAAGCAAGAUCAAAUAACGGCACAAUGCGUCAAAACCUGUAUAAAUUUAUCGCAUUACGGGGUUGCCCGCCCUAAGCUGUUGGUACGAUCGCGUGAGCGUGGCGGCGACGCCUCGCCAAGAUAGAUGACCACAAAUUCAGCCUAUGUGUUGAAUUACAGAACUCGGCUUACAGGCCCGGUCAAAUA